This is a non-coding RNA of Rattus norvegicus (Norway rat), 329 nucleotides long. Lineage: Eukaryota; Metazoa; Chordata; Mammalia; Rodentia; Muridae. The record is from Rfam.
CAAUGUUAGCGCUAAUGGCAUCUGUCAUCCCAUUGAUUGCCAGGAUAGAUUUGGCUGAUCUGCCUGUCUAGGCAGGUGUCCCCUUCCCCCUGCACUGCUUCAUGUAUGUCCUUCCAGAAAGGGUAUGCUUUGCCAAAGACGACACCUCCCCUUAACGGUGAAGAAGCCAUCUUUGGUCAAAGGUAAACUAACUACUAGCUGUGACCCCCGAUAGAACCUCCAAACAAGCUCACUAAAAUAUAUAAUGUUCCAGUUGCUCUAGAUUUGAGAGUCACUAAACUCGACUGGCUUUAAUUAAUUUAAAAUAAUUUAUCUUCAUCAAAUUAUGU